RNAcentral lists this ribosomal RNA (1468 nucleotides) under Serratia plymuthica. RNAcentral describes it as "bacterial SSU rRNA". It matches the Rfam family "Bacterial small subunit ribosomal RNA". Lineage: Bacteria; Pseudomonadati; Pseudomonadota; Gammaproteobacteria; Enterobacterales; Yersiniaceae. The record is from RNAcentral.
AUUGAACGCUGGCGGCAGGCCUAACACAUGCAAGUCGAGCGGUAGCACAGGAGAGCUUGCUCUCUGGGUGACGAGCGGCGGACGGGUGAGUAAUGUCUGGGAAACUGCCUGAUGGAGGGGGAUAACUACUGGAAACGGUAGCUAAUACCGCAUAACGUCUACGGACCAAAGUGGGGGACCUUCGGGCCUCACGCCAUCAGAUGUGCCCAGAUGGGAUUAGCUAGUAGGUGGGGUAAUGGCUCACCUAGGCGACGAUCCCUAGCUGGUCUGAGAGGAUGACCAGCCACACUGGAACUGAGACACGGUCCAGACUCCUACGGGAGGCAGCAGUGGGGAAUAUUGCACAAUGGGCGCAAGCCUGAUGCAGCCAUGCCGCGUGUGUGAAGAAGGCCUUAGGGUUGUAAAGCACUUUCAGCGAGGAGGAAGGGUUCAGUGUUAAUAGCACUGUGCAUUGACGUUACUCGCAGAAGAAGCACCGGCUAACUCCGUGCCAGCAGCCGCGGUAAUACGGAGGGUGCAAGCGUUAAUCGGAAUUACUGGGCGUAAAGCGCACGCAGGCGGUUUGUUAAGUCAGAUGUGAAAUCCCCGCGCUUAACGUGGGAACUGCAUUUGAAACUGGCAAGCUAGAGUCUUGUAGAGGGGGGUAGAAUUCCAGGUGUAGCGGUGAAAUGCGUAGAGAUCUGGAGGAAUACCGGUGGCGAAGGCGGCCCCCUGGACAAAGACUGACGCUCAGGUGCGAAAGCGUGGGGAGCAAACAGGAUUAGAUACCCUGGUAGUCCACGCUGUAAACGAUGUCGAUUUGGAGGUUGUGCCCUUGAGGCGUGGCUUCCGGAGCUAACGCGUUAAAUCGACCGCCUGGGGAGUACGGCCGCAAGGUUAAAACUCAAAUGAAUUGACGGGGGCCCGCACAAGCGGUGGAGCAUGUGGUUUAAUUCGAUGCAACGCGAAGAACCUUACCUACUCUUGACAUCCAGAGAACUUUCCAGAGAUGGAUUGGUGCCUUCGGGAACUCUGAGACAGGUGCUGCAUGGCUGUCGUCAGCUCGUGUUGUGAAAUGUUGGGUUAAGUCCCGCAACGAGCGCAACCCUUAUCCUUUGUUGCCAGCGAUUCGGUCGGGAACUCAAAGGAGACUGCCGGUGAUAAACCGGAGGAAGGUGGGGGAUGACGUCAAGUCAUCAUGGCCCUUACGAGUAGGGCUACACACGUGCUACAAUGGCGUAUACAAAGAGAAGCGAACUCGCGAGAGCAAGCGGACCUCAUAAAGUACGUCGUAGUCCGGAUUGGAGUCUGCAACUCGACUCCAUGAAGUCGGAAUCGCUAGUAAUCGUAGAUCAGAAUGCUACGGUGAAUACGUUCCCGGGCCUUGUACACACCGCCCGUCACACCAUGGGGAGUGGGUUGCAAAAGAAGUAGGUAGCUUAACCUUCGGGAGGGCGCUUACCACUUUGUGAUUCAUGACUGGGGUGAA